GGAAAACACACAGCAGGUUGGCUUUCACCCGUCCCCACAGCAGUUUUUGUUGCGUUGCGUUGGCAUCUUCCUCAGAAGAAGAACCCAUCCAUACCUGCCAUUGUUGACUUAUUUCGGCAAAGGCGCACCGGAAGAAGAACGCCUCUUCGGAAGCUGCCGAGCUCACCAACUCCAUCAUUGCUGCCAAGUCUGAAACCCUUUGCCUCAUAAUUCUGUCGACGCUCUCGGAUUUCUCGGACCGCUCCCCACUUAUCACUGAUAAGUAAGUUCGUUCCGACCUUGUGCUCUUGGUUGCUGCACUUCACACAUGUUUUGUCACGAUUCGUGCUGCGGUUUUGGAAAUUCGGACUGACGAUUGGGGUUUGGCUUUGGACGGAUGAUUUCUGGGUUGAAGCGGAUGAUCGGUAGGUCUGAUACCCAGGUUGAUAGAAAGGGGGAUUUUGCUACCCGUACCUGCGACCGGGAGCAUGCAUGCCAUUUGUUUGUGGAAUUGCGACAGCAGGGAACUGAUUCUUGAAUUCUUGCAAGAAAAGGCUUCGUCGGUGUGGUGAUUCGACUCUAUCAGGAGUUGUUUUGGUGCCCUGAGGCGAAGCCAUGGACGUCGUGCAAACAAUCGCCUCGGCCGCGCAGCUGGUGUCUGCAAUGGUGUCCGCGGUGGGAGCGCUGGAGCAGGCGGCCGCGGACGCCGCUGAGGCUCCAAGGAGGCUCCAGGUGCUCGAGGACUUCGUGUCGGACCUUGAGGUGUUGGUGCAGCAGGCUAAGCAGAAGCACGCGCACAAGAUGCACGGCCCGCAGCUGGAGCGCCAGUUUCAGAGCUUGAGCAGGCUCAUGGAUCAGCUCCGUGCCAAUAUCAUCAAGGCGAGGCGAGCCUUGAAGAAAGGGAAAGGGAAGGGCUUGGCUAGGGUGGUUUGGAGCUCGGUGGUGGGAGACCCCCUCAUGAAGUACAUUCAGCUGAUCAGAGAUGACCUCAACUGGUGGCUGGAAUUGCAGAAGUUGACAGAGAACGUAGGCAAAGCUAUAGCGUCUACUGCUAAGGCCACGCCAUCGUUGGUCAGAGUCAAGUCUGAGCAGGGCUAUCCAGUGUCAGAGAAGUGUGGCUAUGUUAGGGACAUUUUGGAGAGAGAUGAUGGUCAUCGAGUUGUCCUGAUUGUUGGAUUAUCUGGUAUUGGGAAGUCGUGCCUCGCUCGACAAAUAGCUUCUCAGCCGCCUGGUAAUUUUGUGGAUGGCGCAAUUGAGCUCAGUUUUGGCCGGUGGUGCAGUAGAGCAGCUUGUAAUGGAAGCAGAAGUGAGUACCAUAAACGUCUUGUUAGGAAGAUAAGCAAAUUGCUAGUGCAGAUUGGUUCCAUGACUGUCAACGAGGACACGAGCAAAGAUCUUGAAGAUGUGUGUUGCUUACUUCAGAACGCGUUGGUUGGAAAGAGUAUGUUAAUACUACUCGAUGACGUCUGGGAGCAAGACAUAGUUGAUCGCUUCACCAAGCUAUAUGGUAAUGGUUGCCGGUAUCUUGUGACAACAAGGGAUGAAGCAGUUUAUGAGAUAGCAGAAGCUGAAAAGGUAGAAAUAUCCAAAGAUGACAUCAAGAAAAUCAGCAAGGGCAUUCUUCUCUAUCAUAGUCUGCUUAGUGCUGAAGAGCUUCCGCCUGUUGCAGACGACUUGCUGGACAGUUGUGGGCACCAUCCCCUUACAGUUGCUGUCUUAGGUAAGGCCCUAAGGAAGGAGACCAGAAUGGAAAAAUGGGAGAAAGCAAUAUCCAACCUUUCCACAUAUGCAACUUGUGCACCAGGUCCAGUUUCAUAUGUGAACGAGAAAGAAGUUGAGACCACCUUGACCAUAUUUGGAUCUUUUGAGUUCAGCUUGGAAGCAAUGCCUGAAAAUUCACGAAGGUUUUUCAUGGUUCUCGCAGCUAUUUCAUGGGAAGAACCUGUUCCAGAGGCAUGCCUUGAAUCCGUCUGGUCAGCACUUGUGCAGGACAGUUUAUUCCCUAUUGUGGUUUCAAAACUAGUAGAAGGCUCACUCAUCAUCAAACUGGAAUACCAAUCGAUGUAUCAUAUGCAUGACAUGGUUUUUCUCUACCUUGAGAACAAAGCAAAUGAUGCUGCUCAUACUCUUCUGACCGAUUCAUUUCCUGAGUAUGCUGCAUUGGUGGCUCCUUGGCUUUUUAUUUUUGGCAAAGAGACCGUGAAAGGGCCAGCUGAGCAGAAGAUGAGAUCAUUCUUUUCUUUGCUAGAGUUCAUGGAGAUUGAAAUCUUACUGGGAAGCACCACCCAAGCUCUCAUGGCAUGCAAAUCAAUACCUGAAUUUGAGGCUAGCAGGCUUGGCUUUAGCAAAAUGCUUGGACCUCGAAUAGCGGAGCUAAUUUCUGUUGGGUCACAAGCUCUUAUUGUUGCUGUCACUAAAGCUAUUACAGUCGUCUUUUUCCAAGGAGACUAUGCAAAUCUCGCCCAAUCUAUUGAAACAGCAGGUUCUGUUGAUAAAUUAAUAUGUGUUCUUCGUGGCUAUGUGGAUUCUUCAUCUCUAGCCAACGUUUCUGCUGUUCUUGCCAAGGUAUCUGAGCAUGUCAGUGCCAAAACUGCCGACGAAAUUUUGUCAAGCAUUCCCAUGGACAAAAUUGCAGAACUACUGUCUCCAGAAAAUGACGAGUGGCAUGAAAUUGUGUUCACAACUCUAGCAUCACUGAUAAAAGUGGGAAAUUUAAUGGCUGUCGAGAUAAUGAUCGAAGCAGGAGUUGACAAGAAGCUCCUUGUACUUUUAGGUUGCAGUUCUGAGAUCUCACAGCAUCAUGCAAUUAUCAUGCUGAAAACUUUCUGUGAGCUUGGUGCGCCACUUAAAGAGUGCAUGGGGCCUGGACUGUUGAUUCAUUUGCCAUGGCAUGCUCGGCUUGCCUUGGAGAGGUUUGUUUUAUCUGACCAAAAUGUAGCCCCAUCACCGAAGCCUCAAUAUUUUGAGGUGCUUCUUCACAGGAUUCUACAGACAGACAGCAAAGAUAUCAUUGAAGCUAUCCAAGGUUUAUUACCUCUUGCUGAGAGGGCUAACGAUCCUAGGGUGCAAGAUCUUCUUUUGGGAAGCAAUCUGUGUGAUAGGUUGGCAUUUCUGCUGCAGCGCAGAGAACCCGAAAACAACCAAGUGAGGUCUCAGACUGCCUUUCUGGUAAUGAAAUUGGCCUGCACCGGAGCAGAGCCAUACAUCCGUAGGUUCUUGGAGCUUAAUAUUGUGCACGAGCUCAUUGCCAUGAUGCAGUCCUCUACCAAUGACCUCCAGGAUUCAGCAUACCAUGCUCUCCAUCAAAUCGUGUAUGCAAAGGGAGGAUCACUAGUCUUGCAGAGGUUUUUACAACUAGGAACUAUAGAAAAAUUGGUCAAUCUGCUCGACCGUAAGUGCGUCAAGACAAAGGACCUCACGGUGCAACUUCUGGUGGACAUUGUGGCAGUCGGAACCAAACCCUGCAUACAAAGAAUGCUCUCUUCCCAAGUCAUCGAGAAACUUGUUUCCCUUGAGAAAGCAGGUGGGUCUUUCAGCGGGUCAGUGUCAAGAUAUAUCCACGGAUUGAACAUGUGCGAGAAUAUCCAGUCUGCUGAGAGAGCAGUGAUGAAGCAGCAUAUUUUGAGGAAAGUGAGAUCGGCGGUGAGAGGGCAUGAUCUGGAGACGAGUCUAAUUGCUUCUGUGGAGGUCUGCGUUUCUGAAGGCACAAAAGGAGCCAGCAGUAGCAGGAGAAACAAGUAGCAUUAUGCUGCAAACUUCAGUACUUGAAACAUACAUAUAAUCUUUGUUUUGAAAAGAGAAACAUAUAUAGGUUAAGAUGCUGCAAAUUCAGAUAAGAGCUUAUUCAUCAAUAUUUUGAUAGGCGUUCCUUUUUCCAGUACACGAGUUGUUUUCCUAUAGAAAGAGAGAAGAUCAUGAAAGCUCAUACUGUCGCACUGUCCAUGGGUAGUUCUGCAUAACUAGUCUGAGCAAUUAUCCAUAUCCACAUCAGCCCCGGCGUACAAAUUAACAGAAGUAAGUUGCCACGUUCAGUACAUGUCCACAGUCCACAGACCAAAGCAGUCAAGUCUAUUGUGUUAAUGGACUGUGGUCUUCUACCGAAGUUCCUUAACCUUGUAAGAGAAGCAUUGCCUGGUACAGUUUUUGUGCCUAUUAGAGCAUCUCUAGCCGAUCCCCUAAGGCUGGCCCCAAUGGGGAGUAACAUAGAGUAGUAACAUACAUGCCACGUAAGCAUGUUACUACUCUAUGUUACUACCUCCACAGUGGGUGGUAACUUAUGGGUGGUAACUUAGAGGGUUUAUUUAUUGCUUUUGUGGGAUCUAUAGUAGUAGUUCAACUUUGUGAUCUAUAUGUGGCAUGUAUCAACAAAAUUUGUGUUUUCCGAUACUUAUGGAUAAAUAAAAGAACACAAAUUUUGAUCAUAACAA
Molecule: ribosomal RNA, 4406 nt
Filed under: Triticum aestivum (bread wheat)
Lineage: Eukaryota; Viridiplantae; Streptophyta; Magnoliopsida; Poales; Poaceae
Description: partial small subunit ribosomal RNA
Source: RNAcentral